Molecule: long non-coding RNA, 2126 nt
Filed under: Chlamydomonas reinhardtii
Lineage: Eukaryota; Viridiplantae; Chlorophyta; Chlorophyceae; Chlamydomonadales; Chlamydomonadaceae
Description: long non-coding RNA (CREI_LNC000992)
Source: RNAcentral
CCGGGUAUCUGCUUUAGUGCGGGGCUUAACGUAGUAAAGCAAGGAACGGACAGAAGAGCACACGUCAGGGCUGAGAGGAAAGACGAAUGGGGCCUUAGUGGCGAAGAAGGACAGGCCGGGCUGGGCUGCCCCUCCUCGGAGAGAAUGCUCACGUACCGUACAGCCGUAGCGCGGCUUUGUGCGUUGUGCCUUCGCCAUCAGUCCGUAACCGUGUUGUGACGCCCACCGGGAUGCUCCCUGGUAGUUGCUAGACAGUGUUGUCCGAAUAGGGAUGCGCCUGGGAAUCGGGCUAGGUAUUUACGCAGUUCUGGGGUGCGUGACACCGCGGCUGAACCGUUUCCCUAAUUGCAGGUGACUCGCGAGUCAACCUGGGAGCGGCCUGCGGACCUAGCCUGGCGGCGGCUGAGAGCGGAGGAAUGAGUGGCUGACUAGAGGGAAGACCUGGACGAGUGAGGCAGGCAGCAGCAAAGGUAGAUGCAGGAGCUGGCAAGAGUGGAGUCACUGGAGUGGGUCAAUCCGACCAGUCGACAGCAUGGGUAGAUGCGUGGCAUGUUACGGUUUCGGGCGUCAAGGGCACAUAAUCGAGCGCGUUAGCGGCUAGACAUCGUGAAUGUUUGAGGCAUGAUGUGGUCGUUACAGUUCCCGCCUCCUAUUUGGUAGGCAUUGCUGUGCGCGUGGGGUUGGUCGGGUUGCUUUCCCCGCGCUGGCACGCCACGCUCCAACUCACAAAUUCUUACGCAAUUCUUGUACUACAUGCGCACAUAACUAUGCUUGGGACGUCCCGGUGAUAUUCAGGACGUGGUGUAAGAAACAUUUGACGACCUCUCGCCGCGCUCCGGCUUUGUGGUACAAUUGUUGAAUGUUGUCUGCCGUGCGUGUCCAGAAACGUGCCACUGAGCUUCCUCGGGUGGGGCCCGCAGCUGAGCCCGCAGCAGCAGCAGAUGCUGGAGAGCCACCAUUCUUACCAGCUGCAGCAGGCGUGGGCGGCGCAGAACAGCGGGCAGCAGCUGAGCCCGCAGCAGCAGCAGCUGCUGGAGAGCAACCAUUCUUACCAGCUGCAGCAGGCGUGGGCGGCGCACAACAGCGGGCAGCAGCUGAGCCCGCAGCAGCAGCAGCUGCUGGAGAGCCACCCAUUUCACCAGCUGCAGCAGGCGUGGGCGGCGCACAACAGCGGGCAGCAGCUGAGCCCGCAGCAGCAGCAGCUGCUGGAGAGCCACCCGUUUCACCAGCUGCAGCAGGCGGCGGCGGCCCAGCAUCCAACCCAGGAGCAGCGGCAGCUGUUGCAGCAACAAUCUGCGUGGGCCAGCAAGGGUGCCAGCAAGGGUGGCACAAAAGCACGUGACUGCCGGAAUGCUGCCCGGGACCCGGACGCCGGUGCCCAGGUGCUGGUGGCACUGCAGCAGGCCUGGCACCGGGUGGCUGACCAGCAGCCGGUCGGCUGUCGGCUCUUCUCCGAGGAUCAGGCGCGGCUGCUGAAGGCUGCCUACAGCGAAUGGAGCAGCUUGGAGGGCCGGCGGAUACCAAUUAACCAUGUGUGGAGCAACGCCGUGGCUCAGCUGACUGGUAUCAAGCUAGAGAGCCUCUCUACCUGGAGAGCCAGAAAUGGAUGCUGAUAAGGUAGGGUAGGGUAGGGUAGGGUAGGGGAGNNNNNNNNNNNNNNNNNNNNNNNNNNNNNNNNNNNNNNNNNNNNNNNNNNNNNNNNNNNNNNNNNNNNNNNNNNNNNNNNNNNNNNNNNNNNNNNNNNNNGGGAGGGAGGGAGGGAGGGAGGGGAGGGGAGGGUAGGGUAGGGUAGGGUAGGGGAGGGGAGGGUAGGGUAGGGGAGGGGAGGGGAGGGGAGGGUUGUAGAUACCAGGGAGGGGAGGGGAGGGGAGGGUUGUAGAUACGCGCGCUACCCGUGCACAUUUGCAGUACUCGGCGGCUGAGAGCAGAGGAAUGAGCGGCGUCUGGAGGGGUGCGACUGACUAGAGGGAAGACCUGGACGAGUGAGGCAGGCAGCAGCAAAGGUAGAUGCAGGAGCAGGCACGAGUGGAGUGGGUCAAUCCGACCAGUCGACAGCAGGGGUAGAUGCGUGGCAUGUUACGGUCUCGGGCGUCAGGGGCACAUAUUCGAGCGCGUUAGCGGCUAGA